This 440-nucleotide ribosomal RNA is filed under the name uncultured bacterium. RNAcentral's name for it is "partial 16S ribosomal RNA". It matches the Rfam family "Bacterial small subunit ribosomal RNA", at positions 338 to 795 of the family's 1533-position model. The record is from RNAcentral.
CCUACGGGUGGCAGCAGUAGGGAAUCUUCCACAAUGGGGGCAACCCUGAUGCAGCGACACCGCGUGAGUGAAGAAGUAAUUCGUUAUGUAAAGCUCUAUCAGCGGGGAAGAAAAUGACGGUACCUGAGUAAGAAGCCCCGGCUAACUACGGGCCAGCAGCCGCGGUAAUACGUAGGGGGCAAGCGCUAUCUGGAUGUACUGGGUGUAAAGGGAGCGUAGACGGCAGUGCAAGUAUGGAGUGAAAGGCGGGGGCUCAACCCCAGGAGUGCACUGGAAACUGGACGGCUGGAGUGCAGGAGAGGUAAGUGGAACUCCAUGUGUAGCGGUGGAAUGCGUAGAUAUUAGGAGGAACACCAGUGGCGAAGGCGGCUGACUGGACUGUAACUGACGUUGAGGCUCGAAAGCGUGGGGAGCGAACAGGAUUAGAUACCCCGGUAGUC